RNAcentral lists this unclassified non-coding RNA (1314 nucleotides) under Leishmania donovani. RNAcentral's name for it is "gene:unknown". Lineage: Eukaryota; Euglenozoa; Kinetoplastea; Trypanosomatida; Trypanosomatidae. The record is from RNAcentral.
CCUCGACUUGCGGCCCUGCACACCGUCUCAGGUGGAACACACGCGUGCAUGCAUGCUCACGUGCGUGUGCGCAGCACUACUCUGCUCUCUGUACUCUCCAUUUCUUCAUGCAUCAUGCCACCUCGUGCGGCGCGUAGCUCGAAUACAAACUCGGUGAGUGUGGCCGUCAAGAGACACCUGUGCAACGCUGCCGCCUCACCGGUGGCCGCCGCCAGUAAUGGUCGAAGAGCGAGGGCAACCAUCGUGGAAAUGCCUGCAUUGGAGGCUGACGCCGCCGCUUCAAACCAGUCCUCGUCACGAGUGUCGCGGCGUCGGCGCGAUGUGGUUCCGCAGGAGACCCCGGAAUGGCAACGGAUGGCGUUAAAGACCGCCGCCGCCGCGGCAUCCCGGAAGUCCCGCGCCAGCGCUGCGAAGAAGACGAAGCCGAAUGGACGACGAAGGGGCCCCCCAAAGGGGAGGGCCGAGUCGGACGAAGAUGAAGACGAGGCGGCACCCGCUGCCGAGUUAUCGUCGCAGAGGGGGGAGGAGGACGCGGACCACUCCGCCUCGCACGCUGAAAUCAACGCGAGCAGCAGUAUCAGCAGCAAGCGUGCCAGGCCUCACCGCGGCAAGGCCGAGAAAGCGGCAGGGACGCCAGCGCCGAAGCGAGGGCAACGCGUCCCCGUCGCGGAGCUGGUGUGCCCACGCUGCAGGCUACGCAUGGACCACUGGCCCUUCUGCGGACUGUCAGGUGACGCGCAUGUGCUGCGGGCACCGCCAUCAGCCGCCAGGGAAGAGGACGAGUCGCGACCGAAGGAGGCAGCCGCAGCGGCCGCAGCACACUAGGCCGUCGACGAGCGGCGACUGCCAUCAGGAAGGAAAAGACUCGAAAAGUAAUGCGGGCACUCUGCGAAAAUGUGUAAGGGUGUCGUUUGCGUGUUCGCGCGUGCGUGUGCAUGUGUUCCUUGACGCUCAUCGCCGCGCAUCACAGCACUUGUGACGACGCUCUUGCGGAGUGCGGCUGCUCCCUUGCAGCCUCCCAUCCACCAACGGUCACCACUGUUCUCAUUGCAUAGAUAGAUGCCCACGCAUCCCCUUGGUCGGCAUUGUUCUCUAUCGUGCUACCCAACUCUUCUCCAGCGCUUGAGGGGGAAGGGCGCGGGAGUGUCUCCUCCAUCCACUCCGGAUGUAUCCCUAUCGCCCAUCCCCACGACUGCUGCAUCGGUUCCAUUUCUUAGGUGCCGCCUGUGCGCAGUACAGCGCCACCCCCUCCAUCCCGCCCUCAGUUGCUUGCUCUCUUCCUCUCUGCGUGUGUUUGUUCGUCGAUCUCCUUAU